UACGGAGGGUGCGAGCGUUGUCCGGAAUCAGCUGGGCGUAAGGCGCGUAGGCGGUUGGGAAGUCCGUGGUGAAAGCUCGUGGCUACAACUGGCGAGUCGGCCAUGGAUACUCCUUAGACUUGAGCACUGGUAGAGGCAGGUGGAAUUCCGGGUGUAGCGGAUGGAUGCGUAGGAGAAUCCGGAAGAACACCGGUGGCGGAAGGCGGCCUGCUGGGACAGUGAGCUGGACGCUGAGGCGCGACAGCGGUGGGGAGCAAACAGG
This 262-nucleotide ribosomal RNA is filed under the name uncultured bacterium. Its description in RNAcentral is "partial 16S ribosomal RNA". It matches the Rfam family "Bacterial small subunit ribosomal RNA", at positions 524 to 776 of the family's 1533-position model. The record is from RNAcentral.